GUGUCAGCCGCCGCGGUAAUACAGAGGUCUCAAGCGUUGUUCGGAUUCAUUGGGCGUAAAGGGUGCGUAGGUGGUGUCGUAAGUCGGGUGUGAAAUCUCGGGGCUUAACCCCGAAACUGCAUUCGAUACUGCGGUGCUCGAGGACUGGAGAGGAGACUGGAAUUCACGGUGUAGCAGUGAAAUGCGUAGAUAUCGUGAGGAAGGCCAGUGGCGAAGGCGGGUCUCUGGACAGUUCCUGACACUGAGGCACGAAGGCCAGGGGAGCAAACGGGAUUAGAUACCCCGGUAGUCCUGGCAGUAAACGGUGCACGUUUGGUGUGGGCGGAUUCGACCCCGUCUGUGCCGGAGCUAACGCGUUAAACGUGCCGCCUGGGGAGUACGGUCGCAAGAUUAAA
This 395-nucleotide ribosomal RNA is filed under the name uncultured bacterium. RNAcentral's name for it is "bacterial SSU rRNA". It matches the Rfam family "Bacterial small subunit ribosomal RNA", at positions 505 to 898 of the family's 1533-position model. The record is from RNAcentral.